This 211-nucleotide ribosomal RNA is filed under the name Pseudomonas aeruginosa. RNAcentral's name for it is "partial 23S ribosomal RNA". It matches the Rfam family "Bacterial large subunit ribosomal RNA", at positions 1 to 212 of the family's 2925-position model. The record is from RNAcentral. Lineage: Bacteria; Pseudomonadati; Pseudomonadota; Gammaproteobacteria; Pseudomonadales; Pseudomonadaceae.
GGUUAAGCGACUAAGCGUACACGGUGGAUGCCCUGGCAGUCAGAGGCGAUGAAGGACGUGCUAAUCUGCGAAAAGCGUCGGUAAGGUGAUAUGAACCGUUAUAGCCGGCGAUGUCCGAAUGGGGAAACCCAGUGUGAUUCGUCACACUAUCGUUAACUGAAUACAUAGGUUAACGAGGCGAACCGGGGGAACUGAAACAUCUAAGUACCCC